Non-coding RNA from Paramuricea clavata, 976 nucleotides. The record is from the annotation of a GenBank genome assembly. Lineage: Eukaryota; Metazoa; Cnidaria; Anthozoa; Malacalcyonacea; Plexauridae.
AGUUUGGUAUAAAGGUUGCAAUGGACUCGUGGUCUGAAGCACUCUUUUCGCCUGAACGUAACUGGACGCCUGAGGAAAUUCUGGACAAGUUGAAGAGCUAUAUAGAUUUUUUGUCUCUUUUUAAAAAUAGGUUUCUCGAUGGCUAAUAUAAGUGAGCCAAAGUGGAAAAGCUGAAUGGGUACAUGGAAUUUUUAUCUCUACUUAAAAAUUAAGUUUUCGAUGGCCAACAAGUGUACUAAGCUGCGGCAAAAUUAUCUCAAAUGGCAGGGAAACGACAUUGUAAGGUAAAGAAGUUCCAUAAAGUUAUCCACUGUUUAUAAUAACAAUUAAUCACAGGCAAAAUCAACUACAUCGUCAAAAAGAUAUAUUAAUAUUGAUCGAGGCUUGUAAUAUGCUGCUUUAAAAUAUAUUAUGCAGAUGAAAACUUACUCAAUUCUAAUUGGCUGAGAGCAAUGUAGUUUUUUGUUAAUGGGCCACUUGCUUUAUAGCGAUGCCCGCUGUGCAUGACGGUUGGAGUGGUCACUUUGCAAUCAAACGAGGUUGGUGAUUGUAGAGCGAGAGAUUUUGUUUUGAUGAUGAAAUCGGGGAUUUCUAACAACUUUUUGCAUCCAUCGAUGAUUUUAUCCGCACGAAAGUAACAAGAGCUAGAAACUACAUGUACAUGUAAUUUCAUGACGUUAUAUGUGAGAAGCUCUUAAUAGGUGGAUUGCAAACAAUCUUUUGAGAAUUUAAAGACAAUAAAACAGCAGCCAUCUUCUGCCUUGUGACAAAAAAAAUCCGAUCUUAAUUUAAAACGCGAAUUUGCUAUAAGCUAUGUAAAUAUCAGUGGUAAUGACCUAUUAUAAACUCGUUCCCAGCGUUUUUCAAAAAAUAACCGUAAUAAACGAGAAAGAGUUUUUACUGGCGUAUAAUAUAAAUGUGUUGAAAAACGUAGGCUAGCGCUUAGCCGAGUUUUUUCACAUACUGUACGUUGAGG